Molecule: ribosomal RNA, 459 nt
Filed under: uncultured Spirochaeta sp.
Lineage: Bacteria; Pseudomonadati; Spirochaetota; Spirochaetia; Spirochaetales; Spirochaetaceae
Description: bacterial SSU rRNA
Rfam family: Bacterial small subunit ribosomal RNA
Source: RNAcentral
CACAAGCGGUGGAGCAUGUGGUUUAAUUCGAUGGUACGCGAGGAACCUUACCAGGGCUUGACAUACGUUGGAAGCGCAUCGAAAGGUGCGUGCCGCUUGCGGCCGGCGUACAGGUGCUGCAUGGCUGUCGUCAGCUCGUGCUGUGAAGUGUUCGGGUUAAGUCCCGCAACGAGCGCAACCCCUGCUGCCUGUUGCCACCACGAGAGGUGGGGACUCAGGCGGGACCGCCGGUGACAAACCGGAGGAAGGUGGGGACGACGGUCAAGUCAUCAUGGCCCUUAUGUCCUGGGCUACACACGUGCUACAAUGGCCGGUACAGAGCGCAGCGAAGCCGCGAGGCAAAGCGAAUCGCAAAAAGCCGGUCUCAGUACGGAUUGGAGUCUGAAACCCGACUCCAUGAAGUUGGAAUCGCUAGUAAUCGCGCAUCAGCAUGGCGCGGUGAAUACGUUCCCGGGCCUU